RNAcentral lists this ribosomal RNA (1193 nucleotides) under Bacillus safensis. RNAcentral's name for it is "bacterial SSU rRNA". It matches the Rfam family "Bacterial small subunit ribosomal RNA", at positions 41 to 1219 of the family's 1533-position model. Lineage: Bacteria; Bacillati; Bacillota; Bacilli; Caryophanales; Bacillaceae. The record is from RNAcentral.
GGCGUGCCUUAAUACAUGCAAGUCGAGCGAACAGAAGGGAGCUUGCUCCCGGAUGUUAGCGGCGGACGGGUGAGUAACACGUGGGUAACCUGCCUGUAAGACUGGGAUAACUCCGGGAAACCGGAGCUAAUACCGGAUAGUUCCUUGAACCGCAUGGUUCAAGGAUGAAAGACGGUUUCGGCUGUCACUUACAGAUGGACCCGCGGCGCAUUAGCUAGUUGGUGGGGUAAUGGCUCACCAAGGCGACGAUGCGUAGCCGACCUGAGAGGGUGAUCGGCCACACUGGGACUGAGACACGGCCCAGACUCCUACGGGAGGCAGCAGUAGGGAAUCUUCCGCAAUGGACGAAAGUCUGACGGAGCAACGCCGCGUGAGUGAUGAAGGUUUUCGGAUCGUAAAGCUCUGUUGUUAGGGAAGAACAAGUGCGAGAGUAACUGCUCGCACCUUGACGGUACCUAACCAGAAAGCCACGGCUAACUACGUGCCAGCAGCCGCGGUAAUACGUAGGUGGCAAGCGUUGUCCGGAAUUAUUGGGCGUAAAGGGCUCGCAGGCGGUUUCUUAAGUCUGAUGUGAAAGCCCCCGGCUCAACCGGGGAGGGUCAUUGGAAACUGGGAAACUUGAGUGCAGAAGAGGAGAGUGGAAUUCCACGUGUAGCGGUGAAAUGCGUAGAGAUGUGGAGGAACACCAGUGGCGAAGGCGACUCUCUGGUCUGUAACUGACGCUGAGGAGCGAAAGCGUGGGGAGCGAACAGGAUUAGAUACCCUGGUAGUCCACGCCGUAAACGAUGAGUGCUAAGUGUUAGGGGGUUUCCGCCCCUUAGUGCUGCAGCUAACGCAUUAAGCACUCCGCCUGGGGAGUACGGUCGCAAGACUGAAACUCAAAGGAAUUGACGGGGGCCCGCACAAGCGGUGGAGCAUGUGGUUUAAUUCGAAGCAACGCGAAGAACCUUACCAGGUCUUGACAUCCUCUGACAACCCUAGAGAUAGGGCUUUCCCUUCGGGGACAGAGUGACAGGUGGUGCAUGGUUGUCGUCAGCUCGUGUCGUGAGAUGUUGGGUUAAGUCCCGCAACGAGCGCAACCCUUGAUCUUAGUUGCCAGCAUUCAGUUGGGCACUCUAAGGUGACUGCCGGUGACAACCGGAGGAAGGUGGGGAUGACGUCAAAUCAUCAUGCCCCUUAUGACCGGGCUACCC